This 301-nucleotide ribosomal RNA is filed under the name uncultured bacterium. RNAcentral describes it as "partial 16S ribosomal RNA". It matches the Rfam family "Bacterial small subunit ribosomal RNA", at positions 509 to 807 of the family's 1533-position model. The record is from RNAcentral.
CAGCCGCCGCGGUAAAACGAAGGGGGCUAGCGUUGUUCGGAAUUACUGGGCGUAAAGCGCGCGCAGGCGGUUUUCCAAGUCAGUGGUGAAAGCCCGGAGCUCAACUCCGGAACUGCCAUUGAAACUGUUAAACUUGAGGACGAGAGAGGUGAGUGGAAUUCCCAGUGUGGAGGCGAAAUUCGUAGAUAUUGGGAAGAACACCGGUGGCGAAGGCGGCUCACUGGCUCGUAUCUGACGCUCAGGCGCGAUAGCGUGGGGAUCAAACAGGAUUAGAUACCCCCGUAGUCCCUGUCUCUUAUAC